Humulus lupulus (European hop) is the source of this 509-nucleotide long non-coding RNA. RefSeq lists it as uncharacterized. The record is from RefSeq and is a predicted model, not a curated record. Lineage: Eukaryota; Viridiplantae; Streptophyta; Magnoliopsida; Rosales; Cannabaceae. The transcript is spliced from 3 exons.
AGAAAGUAUGCUUUUUAGUUUGGAAAAUUACAAGAGAUGAACAUCCAUACUCUAAUUUUAGUCUUACAAGAGAUGUGUUAUAUGUUAUUUUCAUUAUAAAUUCUAUCUUAUGUUGUUUAUCCUUGUAUAAUGCAGAUGCUAAAGAAGCUAAGCAAAAAAUUACGUGGUGAGGAUUGGAAUUGGAACAACAUAAACACAUUAUGUUUGGCAAUAGGGUCUAUAUUUGGUUCGAAGAUGGAAUAAUAGUAUAGAAAAGGUGGAAAGGAUUUGGACCAAAAGCUUCUGCAGCAAUACCUGCUAGGCUGUGUGUUUUGCUUUAAUGGGCAUUGGCAGCUCAUUUCAUGCUCAAGAAACUGUUGUGAGUGGGCAGAGGUAUAUUGAGAUGAUUUCUUUGGAGCAAUUCUUGACAACAUUUGUAGUUGAGGCCUUUAGAAUGGAAGAAUGUAUUUCACUAAUUUUUGUAUACAUUUCUUUUUUUGUAUUUAGUGAUAAAGGAAUCCGAAUUGGGC